UGCAGGAUGAAGGCCUUCGGGUUGUAAACUGCUUUUGUACGGAGCGAAAAGGCUCUCUCUAAUACAGGGGGCUCAUGACGGUACCGUAAGAAUAAGCACCGGCUAACUACGUGCCAGCAGCCGCGGUAAUACGUAGGGUGCGAGCGUUAAUCGGAAUUACUGGGCGUAAAGCGUGCGCAGGCGGUUUUGUAAGACAGAUGUGAAAUCCCCGGGC
RNAcentral lists this ribosomal RNA (214 nucleotides) under uncultured bacterium. RNAcentral's name for it is "partial 16S ribosomal RNA". It matches the Rfam family "Bacterial small subunit ribosomal RNA", at positions 402 to 608 of the family's 1533-position model. The record is from RNAcentral.